RNAcentral lists this ribosomal RNA (439 nucleotides) under uncultured bacterium. RNAcentral's name for it is "partial 16S ribosomal RNA". It matches the Rfam family "Bacterial small subunit ribosomal RNA", at positions 339 to 795 of the family's 1533-position model. The record is from RNAcentral.
CUACGGGAGGCUGCAGUGGGGAAUAUUGGACAAUGGGGGAACCCUGAUGCAGCAACGCCGCGUGGAGGAUGACGCAUUUCGGUGUGUAAACUCCUUUUAUAUGUCAAGAAAAUGACGGUAGCAUAUGAAUAAGCACCGGCUAACUCCGUGCCAGCAGCCGCGGUAAUACGGGAGGGUGCAAGCGUUACUCGGAAUCACUGGGCGUAAAGGACGCGUAGGAGGGUUGGAAAGUCAGGUGUGAAAUCCUACAGCUUAACUGUAGAACUGCACUUGAAACUUCUAAUCUAGAGUAUGGGAGGGGGAGAUGGAAUUAGUGGUGUAGGGGUAAAAUCCGUAGAUAUCACUAGGAAUACCUAAAGCGAAGGCGAUCUCCUGGAACAUUACUGACGCUAAGGCGUGAAAGCGUGGGGAGCAAACAGGAUUAGAUACCCGAGUAGUC